AGUGGAUGGGGAGCAACCUAGUUGUGCGUGUGUAAAGGUAGUGCCAAGAAAAGCGAUGAUCAUGUUGAAAAUCAAUUCCCGGUACCCGAAACCGACACAGGUGGGCAAGUAGAGAAUACUAAGGGGCGCGAGGUAACUCUCUCCAAGGAACUCGGCAAAAUGACCCCGUAACUUAGGGAGAAGGGGUGCCACCGAGAGGUGGUCGCAGUGAAGAGGCCCAGGCGACUGUUUAGCAAAAACAUAGGUCUCUGCAAACUCGAAAGAGGAGGUAUAGGGGCUGACGCCUGCCCAGUGCCGGAAGGUUAAAGAAGUUGGUCAGUUUUAGGAUGAAGCUAGCGACUGAAGCCCCGGUGAACGGCGGCCGUAACUAUAACGGUCCUAAGGUAGCGAAAUUCCUUGUCGGGUAAGUUCCGACCCGCACGAAAGGCGUAACGAUCUGGGCGCUGUCUCGGAGAGAGGCUCGGCGAAAUAGGAUUGUCUGUGAAGAUACGGACUACCUGCACCUGGACAGAAAGACCCUAUGAAGCUUUACUAUAGCUUGGAAUUGUGUUCGGGCUUCCUGUGCGCAGGAUAGGUGGGAGGCGUAGAAGGUAUCCUUGUGGGGAUACUGGAGCCAACGGUGAGAUACCACUCUCAGGAGGCUAGAAUUCUAACUUAAUUAAGGACAGUUUCAGGUGGGUAGUUUGACUGGGGCGGUCGCCUCCAAAAAGGUAACGGAGGCGUACAAAGGUUCCCUCAGACUGGUUGGAAAUCAGUCGAAGAGUGCAAAGGCAGAAGGGAGCUUGUCUGCGAGAAGUACAGUUCGAGCAGGGUGGAAACACGGUCUUAGUGAUCCGACGGUGCUGUGUGGAAGGGCCGUCGCUCAACGGAUAAAAGUUACUCUAGGAUAACAGGCUGAUCUCCCCCAAGAGUUCACAUCGACGGGGAGGUUUGGCACCUCGAUGUCGGCUCAUCGCAACCUGGGGCGGAAGUACGUCCCAAGGGUUGGGCUGUUCGCCCAUUAAAGCGGUACGUGAGCUGGGUUCAGAACGUCGUGAGACAGUUCGGUCCAUAUCCGAUGUAGGCGUGAGAAUAUUGAGAGGAGCCUUCCUUAGUACGAGAGGACCGGGAAGGACGCACCGCUGGUGUACCUGUUAUGAUGCCAAUUGUAAACGCAGGGUAGCCAAGUGCGGAGAGGAUAACCGCUGAAAGCAUCUAAGUGGGAAGCCCACCUCAAGAUGAGUAUUCUGGUGUAAGGUCACGGGAAGACGACCCGUAAAUAGGCACGAGGUGGAAGUGCAGAGAUGUAUGAAGCCGAAGUGUACUAAUAGACCGUCGGCUUGACC
RNAcentral lists this ribosomal RNA (1325 nucleotides) under metagenome. RNAcentral's name for it is "bacterial LSU rRNA". It matches the Rfam family "Bacterial large subunit ribosomal RNA", at positions 1561 to 2925 of the family's 2925-position model. The record is from RNAcentral.